GAACGCUGGCGGCGUGCUUAACACAUGCAAUUCGAACGGUAAGGCCCCUUUUUUUGGGGUGUACGAGUGGCGAACGGGUGGGUAACACGUGAGUAACCUGCCCCAGACUUUGGGAUAACAGUUGGAAACGAUUGCUAAUACUGGAUAUGAGCUGCUGCCGCAUGGUGGUGGUUUGAAAGUUCCGGCGGUUUGGGAUGGGCUCGCGGCCUAUCAGCUUGUUGGUGAGGUGAUGGCUUACCAAGGCUUCGACGGGUAGCCGGCCUGAGAGGGCGACCGGCCACAUUGGGACUGAGAUACGGCCCAAACUCCUACGGGAGGCAGCAGUGGGGAAUAUUGCACAAUGGACGGAAGUCUGAUGCAGCAACGCCGCGUGCGGGAUGACGGCCUUCGGGUUGUAAACCGCUUUCAUCCAUGACGAAGCUUUUGUGACGGUAGUGGGUAAAGAAGCACCGGCUAACUACGUGCCAGCAGCCGCGGUGAUACGUAGGGUGCGAGCGUUGUCCGGAUUUAUUGGGCGUAAAGAGCUUGUAGGCGGUUUGUCGCGUCGGGAGUGAAAACUCGGAGCUUAACUUUGAGCUUGCUUUCGAUACGGGCUGACUUGAGGGAGGUAGGGGAGAAUGGAAUUCCUGGUGGAGCGGUGGAAUGCGCAGAUAUCAGGAGGAACACCGGUGGCGAAGGCGGUUCUCUGGACCUUUCCUGACGCUGAGAAGCGAAAGCGUGGGGAGCGAACAGGCUUAGAUACCCUGGUAGUCCACGCCGUAAACGGUGGGUACUAGGUGUGGGGGACAUUCCACGUUCUCCGUGCCGUAGCUAACGCAUUAA
RNAcentral lists this ribosomal RNA (822 nucleotides) under uncultured Propionibacterium sp. RNAcentral describes it as "bacterial SSU rRNA". It matches the Rfam family "Bacterial small subunit ribosomal RNA", at positions 31 to 863 of the family's 1533-position model. Lineage: Bacteria; Bacillati; Actinomycetota; Actinomycetes; Propionibacteriales; Propionibacteriaceae. The record is from RNAcentral.